This 491-nucleotide ribosomal RNA is filed under the name uncultured bacterium. RNAcentral's name for it is "bacterial SSU rRNA". It matches the Rfam family "Bacterial small subunit ribosomal RNA", at positions 30 to 507 of the family's 1533-position model. The record is from RNAcentral.
AUUGAACGCUGGCGGCAGGCUUUAACACAUGCAAGUCGAACGGUAACAUAAGGAAGCUUGCUUCUUUGAUGACGAGUGGCGGACGGGUGAGUAAUGCUUGGGAAUCUAGCUUAUGGAGGGGGAUAACUACGGGAAACUGUAGCUAAUACCGCGUAAUAUCGAGAGAUUAAAGUGUGGGACCUUCGGGCCACAUGCCAUAGGAUGAGCCCAAGUGGGAUUAGGUAGUUGGUGAGGUAAAGGCUCACCAAGCCGACGAUCUCUAGCUGGUCUGAGAGGAUGACCAGCCACACUGGGACUGAGACACGGCCCAGACUCCUACGGGAGGCAGCAGUGGGGAAUAUUGCGCGAUGGGGGCAACCCUGACGCAGCCAUGCCGCGUGAAUGAAGAAGGCCUUCGGGUUGUAAAGUUCUUUCGGUAGCGAGGAAGGCACUUAGUUUAAUAGACUAGGUGAUUGACGUUAACUACAGAAGAGGCACCGGCUAACUCCGUG